GAGAGUCUGUCCACCCAGAGAGGAGAGGGAACCUCACACCGGCUGUGAUGCGUAUCGGGGCUCUGCUGGCUGAACAACACUUCGUUGGGAUAAAACCUCCCGGUCACAUUUAAUUCAUUUAUUCUGCGUGUCUGUUUGUGCGCACGUGUGUGCCGCGAGGACUGAGAAAUGCUCUUGUAGCGCGAGUGCGAAUGACAAUAUCGCCCCGUGAGUUUACAGAAAUAUCCGGCGGAGCCCUAACUUGGAGCCGUGUGGACGUCUAACAAGUUUUGCUUUUAUUAUUGACUUGAAUCACAUUUGAGUCGAUUACUUGGAGCCCGAAGCCCUGCGCGAGAUGGAGAACGAAAAGUACUUGCCGGAGCUUAUGGCAGAGAAGGACACGCUGGAUCCGUCUUUUCAGCACUCCCUGCGGCUACUGGAUCAAGAGAUUGAAAAAAUCCAGAAAGACGAGGACAAGGACGAGGAGAAGUUCAUCGACGUCGUCAUCAACAAGAACAUGAAACUGGGCCAGAAAAUUUUAAUACCAGUCAAGCAGUUUCCUAAAUUUAACUUUGUCGGCAAACUCCUCGGGCCACGCGGGAACUCGUUAAAGAGACUACAGGAGGACACUCUCACAAAGAUGUCAAUUCUCGGAAAAGGAUCCAUGAGAGACAAAGAAAAGGAAGAAGAGCUACGGCAGAGCAACGAGUCCAAAUACCACCACCUGAACGAAGACCUGCACGUCCUCAUCGAGGUGUUCGCCCCACCGGCUGAGGCCUACGCCAGGAUGGGUCACGCUCUGGAGGAGAUCAAGAAGUUUCUAAUACCAGAUUACAAUGAUGAGAUCAGACAGGCCCAGCUGCAGGAGCUCACAUACCUGAAUGGUGGCUCGGAGGAUGCCAAGGUGCCAUCGGUGAGGGGCAAGUCAGCUGCCCGUGGAAGAGGGACACCUGUUCCAGGGCCUCCAAGGACUCGAGGAGGAGUUCCUCCACUGCAUGCAGCGGUGCCCCGGGGAGCAGCACCCAGAGGAGCCCCACCCAUCCGGGCUCCGUCUUCCAGAGGGAGGGGGGUUCAGAGAGCCAGAGGGGCCCCGCCAACCGCUGGGUACCGGCCGGCUCCUCCCAUAGUUCAGGACACAUAUGGCGAAUAUGAAUAUGACGAGGACUACGGAACGACUUAUGAUGACCAAGGAUAUGAAUCGUAUGACAACAACUACAGCAAUCAAGGACAAAACUCAGAUGACUACUACGAAUACGGACAAAGUGAGGAGUCGUAUGAUUCGUAUGGACUGGAAGAGUGGACAAACAAUCGUGCCAAGGCACCGCCAGCACGAACAACCAAGGGAGUGUACAGAGAUCAGCCGUACACCAGAUAUUGAACUGUUUAUACAACCUGCACCUGAGUCCUCAUGGCUGUUUCAACCCAAGCCGAUUGCCCGGCUAGACCAGGCCAUCCGUCCAAUCAUCUCAUUGGUGGUAAAGAUUUGACCAACCGCACUCGAGCUUCCGUCCAAAUAUUCAAGCCCACACGGUGUCAAACGACACCACAAAGGAUCUCCUCGACCUCGAGUGACCUGUUGAGAUGCAGAAAAAGGGGGAAAAAGAUAACGCAUGUAUCACACGUCGUCGUUCUCCGGUGAAAGGAAGGGGCAGCGGGAACCCGUGAGGCAAAUGGAGUUCCUCAUCCUCUGGGACGAUCUGUCUGAGAAUAUUUCCUUGAGAGCUUCCCCGGUUCUGUAUACAUUUGACAUACACACAGGAGUGCUCUAAACUGAUUCUGAACCUGCCCUGUGUCUCUCUUGAUUUAGACUGUUGUUGAGAGGAUGUGUCCCCAUUUACAUUAGACAAUGCCCACUAGGGAGGAUGAGUAAAUCAAUAAUGCAGUAUGCUAAGUGUAUGACAUAUUUAUAGCAAAGACACUUCUAAUCUCAUAUUGUUAUGCUCAUUAACCAAUAUCUCAUCCACUCCGAUGAAUAAAUAAUUCACCAAGUGCCUUAUUGUUGCAUUAUGACAGCUUUAGAUGUUUAGUCCUGUUGCCAGAAUUAAAAUAUGGGGCAGUGCAAUAGAAAAUGUAGCUUUUUUUCCUCCUUUUAUGCUGUUUUUUGGUUUUCUGUAUGCAUUACCACGGAACUGGAAAACACCAGCCAGCCCCACACUAGAGUACAGUCUAUUCCAGAUGUAUUGCUUAAUCAGAAUCGACUUCAGUGGAUAUUACAAUUCCAAAAUAGCUUUCUAACGGAUAGAGAGCUUCAUUCUGCCUUGUGCAUAAGUCCAGAUAGGCUGAUCCGUAUUCCACACAGUUGUAUGUCCUCAGUGGCUGACAAUAGUUUUCCAUUAGAGGAAGUGAUUCUCUCCGGCGCUUCGGGCCAAGCCUCAGACAAUAACACGGCGACCUAAAGCUUGCAUCUCGGGCUCCCGGAGUCAAGUCUCAUCACCUCCGGGGGCUGAUUCCCCCUCUGAGGUGGCUUUGCGAGACAGGCUUAUCUGAAGUAAGCUUGUCCAAGUUAAUAAAGUAAGAGCGGCUUAUUUGAUUAACAGUGCAUACAAAGGAGGAUGCUGUGAUCUGUCACUGGGAGUGUCCAUAUCAACACUGAAAGACAGAUCGAUGGUUCCCAAACAUUGGGUACUGGGACCACUAGUGGUGUUUUUAAAAGGCUUCUUACUAUAAAUGAUGACACAUGAACACACAAUGUUCGACCAAAGUUUUGUCUCUUUCAAAUGAUUUCUGUAUUUGUCUUUUUUUUUUUGCUAUUGAUUUUGUGUGGGUACGGUUCUGUUGGAACGUGAUGUCAUGUGUUUUUGUGCACCAAUCAGAGUUUAGCGACAUCAUCAUUUAAAUGUUGCGGGGUUGUUUGCUGGUCAGCACCGUCAGUCAAAUCGGAUCAGACCACACCCACACAGUCCUGACAAAGUAGAGAACAGUUUCCAAGAGUCAGAACAGAAGAUUGUUACAGAGGCAAUUGAGAACAGAGACACCCCACUGAGACUUGAUGUCCUGUAUCUGUGUCACGUGGGUUUCGCCCAUGCCCCGCCCCUUUAGGAGACUCCCAAAUAACCAAAGAAAACAUUGGGCCCACUGGGUACCAUACCAUGUCAAACCAUUUGCGGAACUUGUAAUGCAUUGUUAUAGAAUAUCUUUGAUUGUUACGACACUCACGUCUGUAUGGUAAAGCCAGCGGCCAGUUAGCUUAGCAUAAAGACUGCAAAUAAGGGGAAACGGCUAGCCCGGCCCUGUCUAGCGGUAACAAAGUCCACCUACCAGCUCAGUAAUUAGAAUACAGUAUGUAUUUUGUUUAAUCAAUACAAAAGUGUAAAUACAAUAAUUUGCCAAUUUGCUGAAGACUAUUUCUUGGAUGAGUAACGUCCUGGAGGGUCCAGUGGUUGUUUUUACACAUUGUUGUUUGUACUUAUUAAACAAAAGAAAUAUAACAUCUUAUUUAGUGAGCGUUGGAGGUGUGCAGAUUUUGUUACAGCGCUUGUUUCUUAUUUCUUAGCUUAUUUAGUCAUGACCAUAACAGAAAUCCAUACAAUGUUUCAAUUCAAGUAUUCAGAUGCUUUAAAGUCACUAUGUAUAUGUAUAACCUGUAUGUGAUUAUAAUAUCCGUGAUGAUAUUUUAAUGGUAUAUGAUUUUGUUCGUUGGAAAAUUAGACAAUUGAUCUGUUAUAAAUUGGUGCAGUUUAUGUGUCGCUUUCGGCCCUUUUUUUCCCUCAAUGUCCUCAGGUCAGAUAUGUGUGGUCAGGAGGGAGAGUGUCUUUUAUAAACUGCCAAAGUCAGACAUUUUAAAGUUCCAAUCAAAGUGGUUUUAAUUUCAUUCCUUUCAAAGCAAAUACAGGAAGAGAUAGUUCACGACUACUACCAGCAACUUUCAAUAUUACAUACCCAUGUAUAACUGAUUUUGGUCAGUUGUAUAUAUCAUUUUUUUAUUUAAUUUUUUACAACAAUGGCUUUUUGAUUGUGUAAAGUGUGCUUAGCCACCUGUAUUCCUCUUAAUCAUGUCCAGGGUCUAAAGUGGCUGUCUCCUGCCUUUUGUUCUGUAAUUAACUGGAGCGCUCCUAAUCUUACUGAGAUCAAAAACACCCUGAUCAAUGUUGAGGUGCUCCUUCAUCUCCUUUGGAAGUGAGCACUAAUGUGACCAACGGUGCUGAAUGCUAAGUGGAACCUCAGAUUAUGAAGGAUCAAUCGUUACACAAUAGCAACAAUACAGAGAAUGUACCGGCAUUAUGUUGAGCAAUGGAAAUCUUUUCAAUUACAAUAUACCCAAUAAACGUCUUUCUCAUGCGCAUGCUUAUUUUUGUGAUUACUAUUUUAAUCAAUGAACAAGAGGUGAAAUUUUCAUGUGCUGUUACACAGUUAUCACCGAUUCAACAAGUUAAUAGUUUGUAGAUAUCCUUACUACGAAUAAAGUUUUCCCAGAGUUUUAAAAAAAAUGUUCUUUUGUCAAAAUGCGUUGUGAUUGUGCAGUUCUGACUGCAAUGUGAGGCUUCUCUCCCUUUGAUACCACACUUCAAAGUCAGUAUAUAUGAACGCUGCACUGUGUCAUGUUGGGAAACAAAUCGCGGAGGCAAUUUCCACGUCCCGACUGUUGAGGAUUGACACUCUGUAAAGAAGUCUGAACUAAAUGUAGUUUUAAUAACUCAGAGGGGAAAGCUCGUGGAGAGUAUUGGCAGUCGGCUUGUUUUCCUAACUUAAAGACUCCACCACUGCAGGGAUAUUGUUUACCUUGAUACGCCCUUGAAAUAAUAGUUUCAGAUCAAAUAACUCUGUGUUGCAAAGGCUGUCUCCGUCUCCAACCUUUUAAAUAUUGUAUG
This is an RNA transcript of Anarrhichthys ocellatus (wolf-eel), 4787 nucleotides long. It is a transcript of the gene named KH domain containing, RNA binding, signal transduction associated 3, with no coding region annotated. The record is from RefSeq and is a predicted model, not a curated record. NCBI's taxonomy places the organism in Eukaryota, Metazoa, Chordata, Actinopteri, Perciformes, Anarhichadidae. The transcript has 11 exons.